Lolium perenne is the source of this 1242-nucleotide long non-coding RNA. RefSeq lists it as uncharacterized. The record is from RefSeq and is a predicted model, not a curated record. NCBI's taxonomy places the organism in Eukaryota, Viridiplantae, Streptophyta, Magnoliopsida, Poales, Poaceae.
UAGCCCGCAAAAUCCUUCUGCCUACCUGACUACCUCAGCAUCGUUUCUUCCCCAACCUCCCCCGCUCGCCAAAAUGGCCAACGCCGCCGCUACACCCGAGGCGCCGACCUCCUCUUCCCGCUCCCCUCCCUCUCUUCCUCGCUAGUUCGUGCAAGAAUCUGCUCUUCCCUUUCCUCUCCCCUCCCUCAGCAUCGCCUCCUCGAUGGGGAAAUUUCUUCUGGCGGCGCCGCCCACCUGACGGUCUUCCUCCGCCAACCUGCAGAUCAGCCCGCCGGCAACAGAUCCUAUAACCUCCUCAGCGUUCCUGAUGUUGGGGUCGACGGCAGCGGUGCCGCCAUAUCAACAUCAGGGCUGCCCUUCUGGAUUCCUCCACCGCCUCCCUCAUGCGCUCAAGGGGUUGUUCCUCCACUGUUUCCCUCGCCACAUGCAGCCGGCGUUUCGUCGCCGUCAACUUCCGCGAGGUCUGCAUUCAAGUAAUCAUUGGAGAGAAGGAAAGACCCCCAAAAGCCCCUCCAAAGAAGAGGUUUACGCCACCGGUAGUGCCUGUAGUGGUAUCAUUUUUACUAAGGCAAUAGUACUUGAUCAUGCUUUACCAUUGCAAUCUAGUUCUGCCCAGUUUCUUUGAUUCUUUCUCCAUAAAUUUGCUUGGUAAUAGGUCUGGUUGAUUGAUUGUUAGUACCAAUUUGUUACUUCACAUUUUGCCUGUAGUGGCACUGUAAGAUGUCCAUGCUACUCUCUCAGAUCACCGCCAAGCAGGCUAGUGUGGACUGCCGAUGUGUCAUAUGUUGAGAACCCCAAAGUAUUUAGCAUAUUGAUUUACUACUCUUUUCCAGUGCGUUUUGCAGGUUUUAGAGCAGGGCUACAAGGUCAAGGGUCAACAACUAGGUACAUGGCAAAUCUAAUUAUGUAAUGAGUGAAAAGAGUUCUCCAGUGCAGCUCCAGAGUCGUAAUGGUCUUCUUCCCACUGCACUUGAUGCAGUACCCACCACAAACUGAAGCUCUUUGCUUUCUUGUGUUGCUUCAGAACUUUUUUUUAGAGAUUGAAGGUUCUUCAUAUUAUAAUCAAUCUUGUGCUUAGUCUCAUACAUUGGUUGAUAAUGUUGUAAUAAUUAGCCAAUAUCCGUGGACUGAAUACUGUUGCCCCCUGAGUUCAAGUGAUAACCAGAUCACUACUACAGAUUGAGUGCUUGAGUACUGUUGCUGAUCAAUGACAAAUCUGAUAAAGUUUAACUUGAUGGUUCA